Molecule: ribosomal RNA, 474 nt
Filed under: Deltaproteobacteria bacterium
Lineage: Bacteria; Pseudomonadati; Myxococcota; Myxococcia
Description: partial 23S ribosomal RNA
Rfam family: Bacterial large subunit ribosomal RNA
Source: RNAcentral
CUGGGGCUGGAGCAGGUCCCAAGGGUUUGGCUGUUCGCCAAUUAAAGCGGUACGUGAGCUGGGUUUAGAACGUCGUGAGACAGUUCGGUCCCUAUCUUUCGUGGGCGCAGGAUACUUGAGAGGAUCUUUCCCCAGUACGAGAGGACCGGGAUGGACGGACCUCUGGUGUUCCAGUUGUCGCGCCAGCGGCACAGCUGGGUAGCUAUGUCCGGAAUGGAUAACCGCUGAAAGCAUCUAAGCGGGAAGCCAACCUCAAGAUUAGGUAUCCCUUCCCGCACCUAUCUUUUAUUAUCUUAUUUUUGAUUAAUUAGCGCCCUGUUAUAUUAAGGGGGAAUGUUAAUUAUAUACGUAAGGUAGUAAGAGAUAGGUGCGGGACUAAAGACCCCUUGGAGACUACGAGGUUGAUAGGCCAGGUGUGUAAGUGUGGUAACACAUUUAGCUAACUGGUACUAAUAGGUCGUGAGGCUUGGCCAU